UCUCUGUUUACUGUCAAAACUUGAAAGCUGAGGGCCUGUUAUGCCAUAUUGAAUCUUCUCCAUUGAUCUGACCUGAAUCUGACUGAUUCAUUUACAUGAUUUGUCUAUAUAUUAUUUGUUUCUCACUUUUUCUCCAGCUUGCUUAAUGACCAUAAGAAUAUACUUCACAGGUUAUUGGACUAGUAUCUAAAGGCAUUGACAACUGGGGACACAUGACCAAAGUGAGUUGGAAAGAACAUAAGCAAGAAUAAGUGUUGCUGCAUCCUUAAAUUUCACAGCCUUCUCAAGAAAAUCUAUCACAACUAGUAUAUCAGAGCCUCUGAGGUAUUGUGUUGGUAAGAGUAAUAAAUUAAAUUUAAUAAAAUAAUUUGCUACAUAUAUUGUAAUAAAUUGUAUUAAAAAGAAACAAUUAGCACGGUGA
Molecule: long non-coding RNA, 421 nt
Organism: Humulus lupulus (European hop)
Lineage: Eukaryota; Viridiplantae; Streptophyta; Magnoliopsida; Rosales; Cannabaceae
Exons: 2
Source: RefSeq, a predicted model, not a curated record